This 351-nucleotide transfer-messenger RNA is filed under the name Phycisphaerales. RNAcentral's name for it is "UBA2402 sp002343715 Standard tmRNA". It matches the Rfam family "transfer-messenger RNA". From Rfam's summary of the family: Bacterial tmRNA, also known as 10Sa RNA or SsrA, is named for its dual tRNA and mRNA-like properties. Its role is to liberate the mRNA from a stalled ribosome. The record is from RNAcentral. RNAcentral also lists the same sequence under 1 other name. Lineage: Bacteria; Pseudomonadati; Planctomycetota; Phycisphaerae.
GGGGCCGAUCUGGAUUCGACCGGGCAGGGAAGGCACGACGCGGCGCGUCGAGGCGCACGCGGGCCUCGUUAAAAGCGUGCACACUUCAUAACUGCCAACAGCGGUUAUCGUCUCGCGGCCUAACUGGCCGUGCAUCGCGCUCGCAACGCCCGAUAGCGGGCGCGGUGAACACUUCGGGCUGGUCGGUGGCGGACGCCCUCGGCGCCACCGAUGAGAUACUUCCGCGGGCUGGAUGCAGGAGAAGGGUGUCAUGGCCCGCCUCCGGCGUCGAGAUCAAAGCCAUGAACACACGCGUAGAAGCGGCGUGCUGACUGUCACGGGACUGGGGUUCAAUUCCCCACGGCUCCAUUC